CUGUUUUAUUAGUGAUUUUUGUAUUUACUUUCAUAAAUUCUAAAUAUUAUAUAUAAUUAGUUGUAUAGUUUCUUAAUAAUAUAAUUAUCCUUGAAAGAUAUGCUGGUAUAAUUGGCACAAUGGGCAAGCAUUGAAGUGCAACUUGGUGAACUACAAAAUACAUCAAAUUCAGUUAAAAAAUUUGAGUAUCAAAGGUAUGCUAAUUAUUGUAUUGCCUGAAAGAGUGUCAUUGCCAUUAAAAGCAGUAAAGAAUUCAAGUACUCUGGAAGAAAAAAGACAAGAAAACACUUUAGUAAAUGGCUGUGUGUUUUUGCAAGUUAAUUAUUUGGCACAAAUUGGAGUUAAAGACGAAGGAGAUUGUAUAUGUUAUUUACUAAGAAUAGUUUAUUGAAAUGGCCUAGCUGUAAAAUUGAAUUAUGCAGGGAGAGGAUAAAAAAUUGGAAUAGGAAAAAUGUUGAUUGCAUAUGCUGCUAUUGAAACUGUAAAGUCAAAUAAGUAUGGCUUAUGCAGACAUGUGAUAGAGAUAGCGGAAGAAAAAAUAAUAAUCGUGGGCACCGAAUUUCAUAAGCUAAACACGAUUCAAUAACAAGUAGCUCAGUCAAUAUCGAAACUACUCUAUAAAUUUUACAGUGAAUUUUUUAUCUAAAACUCAAUGUGUCAGUUUUUGGUAUAAGUUUGGUGUUUGUAAUAUGUAUAUUUA
Molecule: long non-coding RNA, 700 nt
Organism: Hydra vulgaris (swiftwater hydra)
Lineage: Eukaryota; Metazoa; Cnidaria; Hydrozoa; Anthoathecata; Hydridae
Source: RefSeq, a predicted model, not a curated record